ACUCAAAAAAUGGCGGCACUUUCCUACCUAGAACAGAAAGUGCCCCCACAGUUUGAGUGG
This 60-nucleotide non-coding RNA is filed under the name Canis lupus familiaris (dog). Its record names the gene cfa-mir-371. Lineage: Eukaryota; Metazoa; Chordata; Mammalia; Carnivora; Canidae. The record is from miRBase by way of RNAcentral. RNAcentral also lists the same sequence under 1 other name.